UGACAGCCUACCUGUUUUUCUUUGGUUAUGAGGAGGUGGAGGAGCCUAUAGCUGACGUUCCUGCAGGCUCUAACUGAGGCAGAGGAGAGGAUGAAGAGAGCAGAAGAUUUAAAAUGAUGAAGGAGACGGUGACUCAACUUCACUCAUCUGUGUCUUUAAACAAGAAAAACUAAGGAGCCAAAAUGAGGGCAGCAGGAAGGCAUGAAGGCAUGCAGGAACACAGGCUCUGUCUCUGUCCUCCACCUGUGCCUGAGGAAUGCGAGCGCAUCCUGGCCAGCUGUGACAGAGCAGACAGCACAGCCAGGAUGGAUCCUAAGCCAGUUUAUGUGGGCAGGUGGUGGAGGUAAAGCCAUGAUGACAAAAGAUAGGACAUGUCUUAAAUCCCACUAGAGCAAUACAAGUUUUUAUGGAAUGGAAGCUAUUAAUGAUUUACCGGUACUUGAAAUGCUGCUUUGUCACUUUUUGACUCGGAAGUAAAAAAAAAAAACAAAAGAAAAACAGCACUGGAUAUUGAUCAUAAAAGUGGCAAAUCUUCAGGCCGGCCUUAACUGGAUGAAAUGGCUGGAAACAUGCAUGUGGAUGGACGGACAGACAAAUGGACAGGGGCAGCAGGGGCUUUUAAAUCACAAUGUCGGGCUCAGGGGUCAAUGACUGACAGCCAUCAGCAAUGGAUGAUGCCCAACCCUGGAAAGGCACUGACUCAUAAUAUCUAACGUGUAUACCACAAUGAGCUACUUAGACAUUCAGAAAAUAUUAUUUGAAGACAAAAGAAAUAAGCUUAAAACAUAAAUCAUUAA
Epinephelus lanceolatus (giant grouper) is the source of this 797-nucleotide long non-coding RNA. RefSeq lists it as uncharacterized. The record is from RefSeq and is a predicted model, not a curated record. Lineage: Eukaryota; Metazoa; Chordata; Actinopteri; Perciformes; Serranidae.